RNAcentral lists this ribosomal RNA (297 nucleotides) under uncultured bacterium. RNAcentral's name for it is "partial 16S ribosomal RNA". It matches the Rfam family "Bacterial small subunit ribosomal RNA", at positions 28 to 334 of the family's 1533-position model. The record is from RNAcentral.
GAUGAACGCUGGCGGCGUGCUUAACACAUGCAAGUCGAACGAACGUAGCAAUACGUUAGUGGCGGACGGGUGAGUAACGCGUGAGCAAUCUGCCCAUAUCAGGGGAAUAACAGUUAGAAAUGACUGCUAAUACCGCAUAGGACCACGGGGAGGCAUCUCUCUGAGGUGAAAGAUUUAUCGGAUAUGGAUGAGCUCGCGUCCCAUUAGGUAGUUGGUGAGGUAACGGCCCACCAAGCCGACGAUGGGUAGCCGGCCUUAGAGGGUGAUCGGCCACAUUGGAACUGAGACACGGUCCAA